AGUCUUGCUUUGGCAAUGUGGGCUCUUUUUUGGCUCCUUAUGAAUUUUACAAAAUAAUUAUAAAACCCCAAAGUGACUGAAAAUAAUUUGAUCUCUUAGAGAAUUACAGUAGGAAGCUCUUUGCUGAGGCUUGCCACUAGAGGGAAGUAGCACAUCCAAAAUAAGCUAUCUUUAGACCUGAAACACAAACACUGAAAGAUUGCUAACUGAUUUGGUUCCUAGUUCUAUGUAAAUGAGUUCACAUAUACAGUCACAAGAGGGAGCUGUUACAGCUGCAAAUACAAGCCCUUUCCAGGGUGAGAGAGGUUGUCAUUGAGUUGUACAAGGAAUUUAUGUUCAUUCUUUUCAUCACCUUGUACUUUAUUAUCUCUUUUUGAGUGUGUGCAUAGCUUCAAAGACAAGGGUAAGCCCCUUCCCAAAUGCAAAGCAGAAGUGACACUGAACGGGAAAAACAGAGAGGUGAUUAAUAUAUAGCUCAAUUUUAAAUGGUGAAGUAUUUGUUGCUAUAAUGGACUGUCAAUUUUAGUUAUUGUAGUAGAGAUAAUGAGUAAUUUUAUUCCUUCCCAUUUCUUUAAUAAGCACUUUUGAGAAUAACUAGAGAAACCCCUUCAUGGUUACUUCUACCUCUCUUAUCAAAUGGCAUCAUUUCAUUUCCCUCUCCAAAUCUCUUCCCAUUCUCCCCUUUUCCCUAGUGUCUUCAAUGCAUGCAACUCUUAGGCAUCAUGAAGAUGAGAAAACAUGUUAAGGAGGAGCUCAAGUGGCAUAGAAAUCGGGACCAUUCAAGCCAUUGGCUCCUGUCUCAAAAUCAGAGGCACCAGCAAUGUUUAUCUGGAAAACACUUAGAACAUCAUUCUAGGAGCCAGUGUGGGAGACCUGAGUACCAGGAAACUUGGCUUUAACCUGAGCUCUAACUUUCUUUCCUUUCACGCUUAGCACAGCAAUAUUAUACAACUACAAAAUUAUUUUUGUUAUAUAUGUUGCAAGUAACUUCUUUCAUUGUGUUAUUUUAUUUUCAAUUUUGCUUAUGGUAAUUUUUUUUUUUACCAGAAAGAAGUUUCUAACUUUUGAAAUUAAAUUGUAUACUAUUGCUUCUAAGACUUACCCUAAAGAUGUGGAUUGAAAUUUUCUUCUUUCUCUUACAGCACAGGGCUCACAUAGACUUCUUGGAAUAAAGGGCAUUUCUUACCAGCUCAAUGGAUUGUCAAACCACCAAUUAAUAGUGGGUUUUGUCUUUACCAUAGUAAGGGAUGGGUAAUCCCACUGUGUUUUACUCCUUUAGAUGUAGCCUACUUGAAUUUCAACCUUGAAAAUGAUCUCAAUGGAAACUUUCUGAAUUAAAGGUAGAUUUAGGGAAAAUAUUUUUCCUCCCUUUUUAAAGUCUUGGGGUUUUUUAAUUAAUAAAUAAUAAUUGUAUUUUAUCUUCUUUUAAAAUUUAUGUUUAAACCUGGGGGUAGGCUAAACCUAACCAGGAAGCUGCUCUAUCUUUAACUGACAAUUGAUGGGGAGCACUCAGAUUGAAACUUGCCUGGUGUGGGAUGUGCUGUGGCUGCUGCUUUGUUUCCUGGGGCCUCCCCUGACCUAGUAUCUGGCACAGAUUCUGAGUUCUGGGGCCUGGAACUUCAGUGUGCACUUGAACAAUGAAGCUGGUGACAAGCAUUACCGUAUUCCUAUCUUUGGGUAUUAUGGGUGAUGCUAAGACCACACAGCCAAAUUCAAUGGAAAGUAAUGAAGAACAGCCCGUACAUUUGCCUUGUAACCACUCCACAAUGAGUGGAGAUGAUUACAUACACUGGUAUCGACAGCUUCCCUCCAAGGGUCCAGAGUACGUGAUUCAUGGUCUAAAAAGCAAUGUGAACAGAAUGGCCUCUCUGACAAUCGCAGAAGACAAAAAGUCCAAUACCUUGAUCCUGCACCGUGCUGCCUUGAGAGACGCUGCUGUGUACUACUGCAUCUUGAGAGACCACAGUGGAACAUAUGGGGCUGCACCUGUGCAAUAUCUCCCUGAUUGUGGAAGAGAAGGCAUCUAACAAGGCCACUGCACAAGAAGGAUCAGAAGUUUAAUAGAGGAAUAAGAAAAUUUAAAAAGAAAAGGGAAAAGAAGUAAAGAGGAGGUGGUAAGGAAAUCAAUAAGAGGAUUAAAGGAAUGAAGAAACUGAGAACAGUUGAGAAGUACUGAAGAAAGGAUUGAGAAGCUUGGUGAAGAGAUGGAGAAUCAUAAUUGGAAUCUUGCAAUCAAGAAGAAAGGAAAUAAGAAUUUUCCAGGACACUUUCUUUUAAUCAACUCUUGCUUUCCAUGUAGAUCUCACUACAAAAGAUGAGAACAACCAUUUGGUUGUCCCAAAGCGUUUCUUCAUCUAGCCCCGGGGAAGUGCCUGGGCUUUGAAUAUUACAUCAUAUUAGUCCUUCCAACCUCUCAAAAAUUGAAAUAAAUUUCAGAAAUUGAUUCAGUUUUCCUUGUUACUUAUCCAUAGCACACACUCUUGGGAUAUAGAUGAUUUCUGGAAGGGAGCAAGAAAUUGAAUAUUGAUUUCUUUUUUAAAAUCUAUGUUGAAUAUCUUUAUUAUUACACAAAAAUACACAAAUC
Non-coding RNA from Sapajus apella (tufted capuchin), 2584 nucleotides. The record is from the annotation of a RefSeq genome assembly. Lineage: Eukaryota; Metazoa; Chordata; Mammalia; Primates; Cebidae.